AACGAACGCUGGCGGCGCGUCUUAAACAUGCAAGUCGAACGAUCUGUAGCAAUACAGGGAGUGGCGGACGGGUGAGGAACACGUAGGAAUCUACCUUGAAGGGCGGGACAACUUUGGGAAACCGGGGCUAAUAUCGCAUAGUACAGAGAUGUUAAAGGGCUAGCAAUAGUCGCUUCGAGAUGAGCCUGCGGUCUAUCAGCUUGUUGGUGAGGUAAUGGCUCACCAAGGCUACGACGGAUAGCCGGUCUGAGAGGAUGAUCGGCCACACUGGCACUGAGACGCGGGCCAGACUCCUACGGGAGGCAGCAGUUAAGAAUCUUGCGCAAUGGGGGAAACCCUGACGCAGCGACGCCGCGUGAAGGAUGAAGGCUUUCGGGUUGUAAACUUCGGUAGACUGGGAAGAAGAAAUACGUUCGUUGAGGGCGUAUAGUGACGGUACCAGUCUGAAGCCCCGGCUAAUUACGUGCCAGCAGCCGCGGUAAU
RNAcentral lists this ribosomal RNA (483 nucleotides) under uncultured bacterium. RNAcentral's name for it is "bacterial SSU rRNA". It matches the Rfam family "Bacterial small subunit ribosomal RNA", at positions 29 to 524 of the family's 1533-position model. The record is from RNAcentral.